RNAcentral lists this unclassified non-coding RNA (353 nucleotides) under soil metagenome. RNAcentral's name for it is "partial contains 5.8S ribosomal RNA, internal transcribed spacer 2, and large subunit ribosomal RNA". The stretch from base 2 to 121 matches the Rfam family "5.8S ribosomal RNA", at positions 35 to 154 of the family's 154-position model. The record is from RNAcentral.
GGAUGAAGAACGUAGCGAAAUGCGAUAAGUAAUGUGAAUUGCAGAAUUCAGUGAAUCAUCGAAUCUUUGAACGCACAUUGCGCCCGCCAGUAUUCUGGCGGGCAUGCCUGUUCGAGCGUCAUUACAACCCUCAGGCCCCCGGGCCUGGCGUUGGGGAUCGGCGGAGCCCCCCGUGGGCACACGCCGUCCCCCAAAUGCAGUGGCGGUCCCGCCGCAGCUUCCAUCGCGUAGUAGCUAACACCUCGCGACUGGAGAGCGGCGCGGCCACGCCGUAAAACACCCAACUCUUCUGAAGUUGACCUGGAAUCAGGUAGGAAUACCCGCUGAACUUAAGCAUAUCAAUAAGCGGAGGA